UAACGACUCUCGACAACGGAUAUCUUGGCUCUCGCAUCGAUGAAGAACGUAGCGAAAUGCGAUACUUGGUGUGAAUUGCAGAAUCCCGUGAACCAUCGAGUCUUUGAACGCAAGUUGCACCCGAAGCCAUUAGGCCGAGGGCACGUCUGCUUGGGCGUCUCACA
This 164-nucleotide ribosomal RNA is filed under the name Delpydora macrophylla. RNAcentral's name for it is "5.8S ribosomal RNA". It matches the Rfam family "5.8S ribosomal RNA". From Rfam's summary of the family: 5.8S ribosomal RNA (5.8S rRNA) is a component of the large subunit of the eukaryotic ribosome. It is transcribed by RNA polymerase I as part of the 45S precursor that also contains 18S and 28S rRNA. Lineage: Eukaryota; Viridiplantae; Streptophyta; Magnoliopsida; Ericales; Sapotaceae. The record is from RNAcentral.